UUUUCAACGAGUGGGUGAAGGAGCUUGUACGCGCAGCCAGUCGAGGUGUAAAGCAUACCAGCGGUCGUAGGGAGGUCAGACAGCAGUAACAACAUCACAACCAGUUACAACUGAGGGCAACAAUUGGUGUUGCUCUGCGUGUGGGGAUGGAUGUCCUAACGUGUCCAACUGCAGCAGGUUCCUAGGCAUGAGUGUGAGUUCGCGUUGGACAACUAUAAAGCGUGCGUCACUGUGUAGAACGUGCCUCCGCAAGCACCCAGGUGCAUGCCCUGUAACUACGUUGUGCGGAGUAAAUGGGUGCGAACGCCGUCAUCAUCAGUUGUUACACUCGUCCGGUAGCAGCCAACUAUUAUCAGACAUCCCGCCAGAAUUGAGUCGAGUCAACACCAGCUGUAACGUGCAUUCUGCUACUUCCGGAGGAGUUAUGUUCAAGUAUGUGCCGGUUACGUUAUAUGGGAAUGGGAAGAAGGUUGAUACUAUCGCUAUUUUAGAUGACGGAUCGUCGGCAACGUUUAUGGAACAUGACUUGCUGAGACAGCUAGGCAUCAGUGGCAAGCAUCGUCCAUUAUGCAUAUCGUGGACCGGUAACCAAAGCAGGGUUGAAGACGAGUCCGUAGAAUUAUCUGUUAAGAUAUCUGGCGUUGGGUCAUCUUUCAUAUAUGACAUGAACACGGUCCAUACAGUUCGUACCCUUGGCUUAUGUGAUCAAUCAGUAGAACCGAGGCAAUUAGCCACUCAGUAUAGCCAUUUGAGAGGUCUUCCACUACCAUUAUAUCAAAAUGCCUCGGCGAAGGUCCUAAUUGGCAUUGAUAAUUGCUUCUUGAGCCAAACCCUUAAAACGGUCGAAAGAGGGACAAACGAGCCGUCAGCAUCAAAAAC
This is a long non-coding RNA of Anopheles merus, 879 nucleotides long. RefSeq lists it as uncharacterized. Lineage: Eukaryota; Metazoa; Arthropoda; Insecta; Diptera; Culicidae. The record is from RefSeq and is a predicted model, not a curated record. The transcript has 2 exons.